GUGAGUAUAGCUUAGUGGUAGAGUACAUGCUUUGCAUGUGUGAGGUCCUGGGUUCAAUCCCCAGUACCUUCA
This 72-nucleotide transfer RNA is filed under the name Camelus bactrianus (Bactrian camel). It matches the Rfam family "tRNA". Rfam says of the family: Transfer RNA (tRNA) molecules are approximately 80 nucleotides in length. Their secondary structure includes four short double-helical elements and three loops (D, anti-codon, and T loops). The record is from Rfam by way of RNAcentral. Lineage: Eukaryota; Metazoa; Chordata; Mammalia; Artiodactyla; Camelidae. RNAcentral also lists the same sequence under 2 other names.